GGACUACCGGGGUAUCUAAUCCCGUUUGCUCCCCUGGCUUUCGCGCCUCAGCGUCAGAAAAGGUCCAGCGCGUCGCUUUCGCCACCGGCGUUCCUAUUGAUAUCUACGCAUUUCACCGCUCCACCAAUAGUUCCACGCGCCCCUACCUCCCUCGAGACUGCCAGUAUCAAAAGCACUUUUCCGGUUGGGCCGAAAGAUUUCACCCCUGACUUGGCAGCCCGCCUACGCGCCCUUUAAGCCCAGUGAUUCCGAACAACGUUAGGACGGUUCGUCUUACCGCGGCGGCUGGCAC
Molecule: ribosomal RNA, 292 nt
Filed under: uncultured bacterium
Lineage: Bacteria
Also listed under: 2 other names
Description: partial 16S ribosomal RNA
Source: RNAcentral